GAUGAACGCUGGCGGCGUGCCUAAUACAUGCAAGUCGAGCGAACAGAUGAGGAGCUUGCUCCUCUGACGUUAGCGGCGGACGGGUGAGUAACACGUGGAUAACCUACCUAUAAGACUGGGAUAACUUCGGGAAACCGGAGCUAAUACCGGAUAAUAUAUUGAACCGCAUGGUUCAAUAGUGAAAGACGGUUUUGCUGUCACUUAUAGAUGGAUCCGCGCCGCAUUAGCUAGUUGGUAAGGUAACGGCUUACCAAGGCAACAAUGCGUAGCCGACCUGAGAGGGUGAUCGGCCACCCUGGAACUGAGACACGGUCCAGACUCCUACGGGAGGCAGCAGUAGGGAAUCUUCCGCAAUGGGCGAAAGCCUGACGGAGCAACGCCGCGUGAGUGAUGAAGGUCUUCGGAUCGUAAAACUCUGUUAUUAGGGAAGAACAAAUGUGUAAGUAACUAUGCACGUCUUGACGGUACCUAAUCAGAAAGCCACGGCUAACUACGUG
Molecule: ribosomal RNA, 497 nt
Filed under: uncultured bacterium
Lineage: Bacteria
Description: partial 16S ribosomal RNA
Rfam family: Bacterial small subunit ribosomal RNA
Source: RNAcentral